This 467-nucleotide ribosomal RNA is filed under the name uncultured bacterium. RNAcentral describes it as "partial 16S ribosomal RNA". It matches the Rfam family "Bacterial small subunit ribosomal RNA", at positions 28 to 507 of the family's 1533-position model. The record is from RNAcentral.
GACGAACGCUGGCGGCGUGCUUAACACAUGCAAGUCGAACGGAAAGGCCCUGCUUUUGUGGGGUGCUCGAGUGGCGAACGGGUGAGUAACACGUGAGUAACCUGCCCUUGACUUUGGGAUAACUUCAGGAAACUGGGGCUAAUACCGGAUAGGAGCUCCUGCUGCAUGGUGGGGGUUGGAAAGUUUCGGCGGUUGGGGAUGGACUCGCGGCUUAUCAGCUUGUUGGUGGGGUAGUGGCUUACCAAGGCUUUGACGGGUAGCCGGCCUGAGAGGGUGCCCGGCCACAUGGGGAGCGAGAUGCGGCCGAGACCCCUGGGGGGGGGAGGGGGGGGGAAUUGUGCAAAGGGGGGGGGCGCGUUAGGCAGAAGCGCCGCGUGCGGUGUGGGGGCCCGCGGGGUGAAACCCUUUUGCGCCUGUGACAAAGCGGAGGGACGGGAAAGGGUGAAAAAGGCCCGGGUAACUCCGUG